Molecule: ribosomal RNA, 526 nt
Filed under: uncultured bacterium
Lineage: Bacteria
Description: bacterial SSU rRNA
Rfam family: Bacterial small subunit ribosomal RNA
Source: RNAcentral
GACAUCCAGAGAACUUGGCAGAGAUGCCUUGGUGCCUUCGGGACCUCUGAGACAGGUGCUGCAUGGCUGUCGUCAGCUCGUGUUGUGAAAUGUUGGGUUAAGUCCGCAACGAGCGCAACCCCCUAUCCUUUGUUGCCAGCGAUUCGGUCGGGAACUCAAAGGAGACUGCCGGUGAUAAACCGGGGGAAGGUGGGGAUGACGUCAAGUCAUCAUGGCCCUUACGAGUAGGGCUACACACGUGCUACAAUGGCGCAUACAAAGAGAAGCGACCUCGCGAGAGCAAGCGGACCUCAUAAAGUGCGUCGUAGUCCGGAUCGGAGUCUGCAACUCGACUCCGUGAAGUCGGAAUCGCUAGUAAUCGUAGAUCAGAAUGCUACGGUGAAUACGUUCCCGGGCCUUGUACACACCGCCCGCCACACCAUGGGAGUGGGUUGCAAAAGAAGUAGAUAGCUUAACCUUCGGGAGGGCGUUUACCACUUUGUGAUUCAUGACUGGGGUGAAGUCGUAACAAGGUAGGCGUAGCGAG